GAUUUUUUGAGACAGAGUCUCACUAUGUAGUUGAGACUGACCUGGAAUUCACUUUGUAGCCCAGGCUGGUUUCGAACUCACAGCGAUCCUCCUGCCUCAGCCUCCCGAGUGCUGGGAUUACAGGCAUGUGCCACCACGCUCGGUUUUUUCCCCAAAUUCUGCUUUAUGGCAGAGCCCACAUGGAUACAUGACGUGCUUGGAUCUCUCUGGCCCAGUCUUGUCAUAGCCGUUCUGUAUAUGGUCCGUAAGUUGAAUUACCAACUGUCAAGAAUGUCCAGAUGAGCCUGAAGAGCCUCCAUUGCCAGAAUUGUGCUCACUCCACCCUGGAAGACAGUCACAGAAACAGAUGCUUCUGUGGUUUCUGGGUAAAAUUCAAAAGUGAAAUGGGUUCUACCAGCCUCUCAACCAAGACCACAGAAGCCCCAGGGAGCUAACAAGCCCACG
Molecule: long non-coding RNA, 444 nt
Filed under: Fukomys damarensis (Damara mole-rat)
Lineage: Eukaryota; Metazoa; Chordata; Mammalia; Rodentia; Bathyergidae
Description: lncRNA (ENSFDAG00000028889.1)
Source: RNAcentral